CCUACGGGAGGCUGCAGUGAGGAAUAUUGGUCAAUGGGCGCGAGCCUGAACCAGCCAAGUAGCGUGAAGGCUGACUGCCCUACGGGUUGUAAACUUCUUUUAUAACGGAAUAAAGUGAUGCACGUUUGCCUUUUUGUAUGUACUUUAUGAAUAAGGAUCGGCUAACUCCGUGCCAGCAGCCGCGGUAAUACGGAGGAUCCGAGCGUUAUACGGAUUUAUUGGGUUUAAAGGGAGCGUAGAUGGGUUGUUAAGUCAGGUGUGAAAGUUUGCGGCUCAACCGUAAAAUUGCAAUUGAUACUGGCAGUCUUGAGUACAGUUGAGGUAGGCGGAAUUCGUGGUGUAGCGGUGAAAUGCGUAGAGAUCACGAAGAACACCGAUGGCGAAGGCAGCUUACUAAACUGCCACUGACAUUGAUGCUCGAAAGUGUGGGGAUCAAACAGGAUUAGAUACCCUGGUAGUC
This 460-nucleotide ribosomal RNA is filed under the name uncultured bacterium. Its description in RNAcentral is "partial 16S ribosomal RNA". It matches the Rfam family "Bacterial small subunit ribosomal RNA", at positions 338 to 795 of the family's 1533-position model. The record is from RNAcentral.